Molecule: ribosomal RNA, 168 nt
Filed under: Chirocentrus dorab (Dorab wolf-herring)
Lineage: Eukaryota; Metazoa; Chordata; Actinopteri; Clupeiformes; Chirocentridae
Description: partial 12S rRNA
Source: RNAcentral
CACCGCGGUUACACGGAAGACCCUAGUUGAUAGACACGGCGUAAAGGGUGGUUAUGGGACCACGAACAAUAGAGCAAAAGGCCCCUCAGGCCGUCAUACGCACGCAAGAGGCCGAAGUCCUCCCACGAAGGUGGCUCUAGCACACCAGAACCCACGAAAGCCGGGGCA